RNAcentral lists this ribosomal RNA (253 nucleotides) under uncultured bacterium. Its description in RNAcentral is "partial 16S ribosomal RNA". It matches the Rfam family "Bacterial small subunit ribosomal RNA", at positions 524 to 776 of the family's 1533-position model. The record is from RNAcentral.
UACGUAGGGUGCAAGCGUUGUCCGGAAUUAUUGGGCGUAAAGCGCGUGUAGGCGGCUUUGCAAGUCGGGUGUGAAAUCCCUCAGCUCAACUGAGGAAGUGCGCCCGAAACUGCAGAGCUUGAGUACCGGAGAGGAUGGCGGAAUUCCCCAAGUAGAGGUGAAAUUCGUAGAUAUGGGGAGGAACACCGGUGGCGAAGGCGGCCAUCUGGACGGAUACUGACGCUGAGACGCGAAAGCGUGGGUAGCAAACAGG